CUUUGAGUCAGGUUCCAUGGUAAAGCACAGAGGUAGGUGAGGUAUGAAAACAUCCCGUAACUGACCCAUAAGAACUUUUGAUACUUCCUCUUGUUGGCUGGAACGUUUCCACAUAGGUCAAAAAGAGGAAAGGAGAAAGUCCCAGGUCGCCAGUGGUUGUAGAGCUUGGAACAACCUCCAUACACAGAGAACAUAAAGUCCUUUGACUCAGGACAAAAUGGAAGCUGAAAGUUCCUUAAAGAGGCUGCCUAAUUGACACUCUCAUCAGUCACCAAUAAAAGGGAAGGCGUGGCAGAAGACUCGAGGAUGUCAGAAAGAAGCACAACCUGAGUAGAGGUUGUUGGGGAGCAAGAAGACACUCCGAAUACGAGGUGGAAAGGGGGAGCCGGGAGCAGGAGAAACCGGACUUCCCUUUUAUGUGUUGCUUCAUGCCUCUGCUGGUGAACAGAAGGAGGAGAGAGAAAUGGCUGACUCCAAACCCACAGUUCCUGCCCUGGAGUGAAAUAAAAUACUCCGAGGCUGGUGUUUCAAUUGGUGCAAGAUUCUGAAGAGAGCCGAACACUCCCUCUUCCUUUUUGGGACAUGAAUUCCCCAGCUGAAAAAAUGCAUCACUUGGCCUUACCUGCCCUACUCCAUCACCACCUCCUUCUCAGGGAUGUCGUGACAAAGAGGUUUGUUUUGAUGUCUGAGGCGAAGAGAUCUUCCCAGGAGGAGGCCGAGGGAACACUCAGGCGUCCUUUCUCACUUGAGAUCUUCAACACCACCAAGUUGAGAGCUGGAAGGUGCGAGGGAAUUGCAACCAAACUCUUCUGUUCACGUUGUGGGAGAGGGGACCCGUGUCCCAGCUGUGUGAUGACCAUGACAGGAAAGUGAUGGGGAAUGGACUCCUUGAUCACCGCUCCACCAACCUCACUUGCCUGCAGCCUCGGAUUUUUCUGUUUCUCAGGAGCAAAAAGACUCAAAGUUGUGACAACAAAGACCUUUUUCUGGAGUGGUUAUUCUGUUGCUAAGUCAUGUCCGACUCUUUGCGACCCCGUAAACUGCAGCACACCAGGCUCCCCUGUCCUGCACUAUCUCCCAGAGCUAGCUCACACUCAUGUCCAUUGAGUCAGUGAU
This 1116-nucleotide long non-coding RNA is filed under the name Bos indicus x Bos taurus (hybrid cattle). Its description in RNAcentral is "lncRNA (ENSBIXG00005014744.1)". The record is from RNAcentral. Lineage: Eukaryota; Metazoa; Chordata; Mammalia; Artiodactyla; Bovidae.